GACGGACACUGGCGGCGUGCCUAAUACAUGCAAGUCGAACGCUUUUUCUUUCACCGGAGCUUGCUCCACCGAAAGAAAAAGAGUGGCGAACGGGUGAGUAACACGUGGGUAACCUGCCCAUCAGAAGGGGAUAACACUUGGAAACAGGUGCUAAUACCGUAUAACACUAUUUUCCGCAUGGAAGAAAGUUGAGAGGCGCUUUUGCGUCACUGAUGGAUGGACCCGGGGUGCAUUAGCUAGUUGGUGAGGUAACGGCUCACCAAGGCAACGAUGCAUAGCCGACCUGAGAGGGUGAUCGGCCACACUGGGACUGAGACACGGCCCAGACUCCUACGGGAGGCAGCAGUAGGGAAUCUUCGGCAAUGGACGAAAGUCUGACCGAGCAACGCCGCGUGAGUGAAGAAGGUUUUCGGAUCGUAAAACUCUGUUGUUAGAGAAGAACAAGGAUGAGAGUAAAACGUUCAUCCCUUGACGGUAUCUAACCAGAAAGCCACGGCUAACUACGUGCCAGCAGCCGCAGUAA
Molecule: ribosomal RNA, 523 nt
Filed under: uncultured bacterium
Lineage: Bacteria
Description: partial 16S ribosomal RNA
Rfam family: Bacterial small subunit ribosomal RNA
Source: RNAcentral